Molecule: ribosomal RNA, 305 nt
Filed under: uncultured bacterium
Lineage: Bacteria
Description: bacterial SSU rRNA
Rfam family: Bacterial small subunit ribosomal RNA
Source: RNAcentral
CCUACGGGGCGCAGCAGUGGGGGAUAUUGGACAAUGGGGGAAACCCUGAUCCAGCGACGCCGCGUGAGUGAAGAAGUAUUUCGGUAUGUAAACCUCUGUCCUCUGUGAAGAUGAUGACGGUAGCAGAGGAGGAAGCUCCGGCUAACUACGUGCCAGCAGCCGCGGUAAUACGUAGGGAGCAAGCGUUGUCCGGAUUUACUGGGUGUAAAGGGUGCGUAGGCGGCUUUGCAAGUCAGAAGUGAAAUCCAUGGGCUUAACCCAUGAACUGCUUUUGAAACUGCAGAGCUUGAGUGGAGUAGAGGUAG